GCGGCGGACGGGUGAGUAACACGUGGGUAACCUGCCCAUAAGACUGGGAUAACUCCGGGAAACCGGGGCUAAUACCGGAUAACAUUUUGAACCGCAUGGUUCGAAAUUGAAAGGCGGCUUCGGCUGUCACUUAUGGAUGGACCCGCGUCGCAUUAGCUAGUUGGUGAGGUAACGGCUCACCAAGGCAACGAUGCGUAGCCGACCUGAGAGGGUGAUCGGCCACACUGGGACUGAGACACGGCCCAGACUCCUACGGGAGGCAGCAGUAGGGAAUCUUCCGCAAUGGACGAAAGUCUGACGGAGCAACGCCGCGUGAGUGAUGAAGGCUUUCGGGUCGUAAAACUCUGUUGUUAGGGAAGAACAAGUGCUAGUUGAAUAAGCUGGCACCUUGACGGUACCUAACCAGAAAGCCACGGCUAACUACGUGCCAGCAGCCGCGGUAAUACGUAGGUGGCAAGCGUUAUCCGGAAUUAUUGGGGCGUAAAGCGCGCGCAGGUGGUUUCUUAAGUCUGAUGUGAAAGCCCACGGCUCAACCGUGGAGGGUCAUUGGAAACUGGGAGACUUGAGUGCAGAAGAGGAAAGUGG
Molecule: ribosomal RNA, 585 nt
Filed under: Bacillus thuringiensis
Lineage: Bacteria; Bacillati; Bacillota; Bacilli; Caryophanales; Bacillaceae
Description: bacterial SSU rRNA
Rfam family: Bacterial small subunit ribosomal RNA
Source: RNAcentral